GAUGAACGCUGGCGGCGUGCCUAAUACAUGCAAGUCGAGCGAACAGACGAGGAGCUUGCUCCUCUGACGUUAGCGGCGGACGGGUGAGUAACACGUGGAUAACCUACCUAUAAGACUGGGAUAACUUCGGGAAACCGGAGCUAAUACCGGAUAAUAUAUUGAACCGCAUGGUUCAAUAGUGAAAGACGGUUUUGCUGUCACUUAUAGAUGGAUCCGCGCCGCAUUAGCUAGUUGGUAAGGUAACGGCUUACCAAGGCAACGAUGCGUAGCCGACCUGAGAGGGUGAUCGGCCACACUGGAACUGAGACACGGUCCAGACUCCUACGGGAGGCAGCAGUAGGGAAUAUUCCGCAAUGGGCGAAAGCCUGACGGAGCAACGCCGCGUGAGUGAUGAAGGUCUUCGGAUCGUAAAGCUCUGUUAUUAGGAAAGAACAAAUGUGUAAGUAACUAUGCACGUCUUGACGGUACCUAAUCAGAAAGCAACGGCUAACUACGUG
This 497-nucleotide ribosomal RNA is filed under the name uncultured bacterium. RNAcentral's name for it is "partial 16S ribosomal RNA". It matches the Rfam family "Bacterial small subunit ribosomal RNA", at positions 28 to 507 of the family's 1533-position model. The record is from RNAcentral.